GAUGAACGCUGGCGGCGUGCCUAAUACAUGCAAGUCGAGCGAACAGAUAAGGAGCUUGCUCCUUUGACGUUAGCGGCGGACGGGUGAGUAACACGUGGGUAACCUACCUAUAAGACUGGGAUAACUUCGGGAAACCGGAGCUAAUACCGGAUAACAUUUGGAACCGCAUGGUUCUAAAGUGAAAGAUGGUUUUGCUAUCACUUAUAGAUGGACCCGCGCUGUAUUAGCUAGUUGGUAAGGUAACGGCUUACCAAGGCGACGAUACGUAGCCGACCUGAGAGGGUGAUCGGCCACACUGGAACUGAGACACGGUCCAGACUCCUACGGGAGGCAGCAGUAGGGAAUCUUCCGCAAUGGGCGAAAGCCUGACGGAGCAACGCCGCGUGAGUGAUGAAGGUUUUCGGAUCGUAAAACUCUGUUAUUAGGGAAGAACAAAUGUGUAAGUAACUGUGCACGUCUUGACGGUACCUAAUCAGAAAGCCACGGCUAACUACGUG
This 497-nucleotide ribosomal RNA is filed under the name uncultured bacterium. Its description in RNAcentral is "partial 16S ribosomal RNA". It matches the Rfam family "Bacterial small subunit ribosomal RNA", at positions 28 to 507 of the family's 1533-position model. The record is from RNAcentral.